GUAUUGAUUGCGUGUGACCGCAAAAACAAAACAUUCUAGACUGUAUCGAAUUUUGUGUGAAAACGUGAGCCCUCCUGCAAAGGGGGGACCCGCGCGGUGAUGCACAAAGGGGUGAGAUGGAUUUUGUGCGAGAGCGCUCGGGCGUGCACGACCUUUGAAGGUCAGCGACAGCCCUUGCAUGCCCCUCACAUUUUGUACGAUAAUGAUCCUUCCGCAGGUUCACCUACGGAAA
Molecule: unclassified non-coding RNA, 232 nt
Filed under: uncultured fungus
Lineage: Eukaryota; Fungi
Description: sequence contains ITS1
Source: RNAcentral